AACGAACGCUGGCGGCAGGCUUAACACAUGCAAGUCGAACGAGAUCUUCGGAUCUAGUGGCAGACGGGUGAGGAACACGUGGGAACAUCCCUUUCAGUUCGGAAUAACGUUGGGAAACUAACGCUAAUACCGGAUACGUCCUCCGGGAGAAAGAUUUAUCGCUGAAAGAUUGGCCCGCGUCUGAUUAGCUAGUUGGUGAGGUAACGGCUCACCAAGGCUACGAUCAGUAGCUGAUCUGAGAGGAUGAUCAGCCACAUUGGGACUGAGACACGGCCCAAACUCCUACGGGAGGCAGCAGUGGGGAAUAUUGGACAAUGGGCGCAAGCCUGACCCAGCCAUGCCGCGUGAGUGAUGACGGCCUUCGGGUUGUAAAGCUCUUUUGUCCGGGAAGAUAAUGACUGUACCGGAAGAAUAAGCCCCGGCAAACUUCGUGCCAGCCGCCGCCGUAA
RNAcentral lists this ribosomal RNA (449 nucleotides) under uncultured bacterium. RNAcentral's name for it is "partial 16S ribosomal RNA". It matches the Rfam family "Bacterial small subunit ribosomal RNA", at positions 29 to 523 of the family's 1533-position model. The record is from RNAcentral.